CCUACGGGGGGCAGCAGUGGGGAAUAUUGCACAAUGGGCGCGAGCCUGAUGCAGCCAUGCCGCGUGUGUGAAGAAGGCCUUCGGGUUGUAAAGCACUUUCAGCGGGGAGGAAGGCGGUGAGGUUAAUAACCUCAUCGAUUGACGUUACCCGCAGAAGAAGCACCGGCUAACUCCGUGCCAGCAGCCGCGGUAAUACGGAGGGUGCAAGCGUUAAUCGGAAUUACUGGGCGUAAAGCGCACGCAGGCGGUCUGUCAAGUCGGAUGUGAAAUCCCCGGGCUCAACCUGGGAACUGCAUUCGAAACUGGCAGGCUAGAGUCUUGUAGAGGGGGGUAGAAUUCCAGGUGUAGCGGUGAAAUGCGUAGAGAUCUGGAGGAAUACCGGUGGCGAAGGCGGCCCCCUGGACAAAGACUGACGCUCAGGUGCGAAAGCCUGGGGAGCAAACAGGAUUAGAUACCCCAGUAGUC
This 465-nucleotide ribosomal RNA is filed under the name uncultured Klebsiella sp. RNAcentral describes it as "bacterial SSU rRNA". It matches the Rfam family "Bacterial small subunit ribosomal RNA", at positions 338 to 795 of the family's 1533-position model. Lineage: Bacteria; Pseudomonadati; Pseudomonadota; Gammaproteobacteria; Enterobacterales; Enterobacteriaceae. The record is from RNAcentral.